Molecule: non-coding RNA, 106 nt
Filed under: Listeria aquatica
Lineage: Bacteria; Bacillati; Bacillota; Bacilli; Caryophanales; Listeriaceae
Description: TPP sequence
Rfam family: TPP riboswitch aptamer (THI element)
About the family: Vitamin B(1) in its active form thiamin pyrophosphate (TPP) is an essential coenzyme that is synthesised by coupling of pyrimidine and thiazole moieties in bacteria.
Source: RNAcentral
AUGCAACACUAGGGGGGCCACGGUUGUGGCUGAGAUAGAAAGUGUACUUUCUGACCCUUUGAACCUGUUUGUUAGUGCAAGCGUAGGGAAGUGGAAAAUUCAAAAA